ACGAAGGGGGCUAGCGUUGUUCGGAAUUACUGGGCGUAAAGCGCACGUAGGCGGCUUUCCAAGUUGGAGGUGAAAUCCCCGGGCUUAACCCGGGAACUGCCUCCAAAACUGAAAGGCUAGAGUCCGAGAGAGGUGAGUGGAAUUUCCAGUGUAGAGGUGAAAUUCGUAGAUAUUGGAAAGAACACCAGUGGCGAAGGCGGCUCACUGGCUCGGUACUGACGCUGAGGUGCGACAGCGUGGGGAGCAAACAG
This 251-nucleotide ribosomal RNA is filed under the name uncultured prokaryote. RNAcentral describes it as "partial 16S ribosomal RNA". It matches the Rfam family "Bacterial small subunit ribosomal RNA", at positions 525 to 775 of the family's 1533-position model. The record is from RNAcentral.